Molecule: ribosomal RNA, 416 nt
Filed under: uncultured bacterium
Lineage: Bacteria
Description: bacterial SSU rRNA
Rfam family: Bacterial small subunit ribosomal RNA
Source: RNAcentral
GACGAACGCUGGCGGCGUGCCUAACACAUGCAAGUCGAGCGGAGACAGUGAGUAGCUUGCUACGAGCUGUUUUAGCGGCGGACGGGUGAGUAACGCGUGAGCAACCUUUCCCAGACAGGGGAAUAACACACCGAAAGGUGUACUAAUACCGCAUAAGACCACGGGAUCACAUGGUUCUGGGGUGAAAGAUUUAUCGGUUUGGGGUGGGCUCGCGUCCGAUUAGGUAGUUGGUGAGGUAACGGCCCACCAAGCCGACGAUCGGUAGCCGACCUGAGAGGGUGAUCGGCCACAUUGGGACUGAGACACGGCCCAAACUCCUACGGGAGGCAGCAGUGGGGAAUAUUGGGCAAUGGGGGGAACCCUGACCCAGCAACGCCGCGUGGAGGAAGAAGGUUUUCGGAUCGUAAACUCCUGUC